ACCUCUAGCAUUACCAGUAUUAGAGGCACUGCCUGCCCGGUGACACACGUUUAACGGCCGCGGUACUCUGACCGUGCAAAGGUAGCAUAAUCACUUGUUCUUUAAAUAGGGACUUGCAUGAAUGGCAUCACGAGGGUUUAACUGUCUCUUACUUUUAACCAGUGAAAUUGACCUAUCCGUGAAGAGACGGAUAUAAUACAAUAAGACGAGAAGACCCUAUGGAGCUUUAAUUUAUUAAUGCAACUAAAAACUACACAAACCUACAGGCCCCUAAAUUACUAUACCUGCAUUAAAAAUUUUGGUUGGGGUGACCUCGGAGCACAGCCAAACCUCCGAAUAGUUCAUGCUAAGACUACACAAGUCAAAGCGAACUAAUAUUUCAACUGAUCCAAUAACUUGAUCAACGGAACAAGUUACCCUAGGGAUAACAGCGCAAUUCUAUUCUAGAGUCCAUAUCGACAAUAGAGUUUACGACCUCGAUGUUGGAUCAGGACAUCCUAAUGGUGCAGCAGCUAUCAAG
RNAcentral lists this ribosomal RNA (520 nucleotides) under Mandrillus sphinx (mandrill). RNAcentral's name for it is "partial 16S ribosomal RNA". It matches the Rfam family "Bacterial large subunit ribosomal RNA", at positions 1818 to 2569 of the family's 2925-position model. The record is from RNAcentral. Lineage: Eukaryota; Metazoa; Chordata; Mammalia; Primates; Cercopithecidae.